AUAUUUUAAUUGCACAACGGAAAUAUUGGAACCAGGUCAGGAUAGAAAUAUAGCAGCCUUAACAUUCCCUUUUCGUGUGUGCAUUUUUUUAUACAUUA
Molecule: signal recognition particle RNA, 98 nt
Filed under: Bacillota bacterium
Lineage: Bacteria; Bacillati; Bacillota
Also listed under: 1 other name
Description: signal recognition particle sRNA small type
Rfam family: Bacterial small signal recognition particle RNA
About the family: The signal recognition particle (SRP) is a universally conserved ribonucleoprotein involved in the co-translational targeting of proteins to membranes.
Source: RNAcentral